This 391-nucleotide ribosomal RNA is filed under the name uncultured bacterium. Its description in RNAcentral is "bacterial SSU rRNA". It matches the Rfam family "Bacterial small subunit ribosomal RNA", at positions 30 to 424 of the family's 1533-position model. The record is from RNAcentral.
AUUGAACGCUGGCGGUAUGCUUAACACAUGCAAGUCGAACGGUAACAGGCCUUCGGGCGCUGACGAGUGGCGGACGGUGAGUAACGCGUAGGAAUCUGCCCUCAUAGUGGGGACAACGUGGGGAAACUCACGCUAAUACCGCAUACGCCCUACGGGGGAAAGGCGGGGAGUCUUCGGACCUCGCGCUAUGAGAUGAGCCUGCGUUAGAUUAGCUAGUUGGUAGGGUAAAGGCCUACCAAGGCGACGAUCUAUAGCUGGUCUGAGAGGACGAUCAGCCACACUGGGACUGAGACACGGCCAGACUCCUACGGGAGGCAGCAGUGGGGAACAUUGGACAAUGGGCGCAAGCCUGAUCCAGCAAUACCGCGUGUGUGAAGAAGGCCUUAGGGUU